CCAUAUUGGCAGUCAUCUACUAGUAACAGGAGAAAUAUUUCAAUCCUUUUGAACAUGAAGAACAACCAUUCAUGAAACACUGAUCAAAUUUAAAGUCAAAGUUUUGAUAAAGGUUGAAGCAAAGCAUGGAGUUGAUGACAAAGAUUAGUGAGGAGCUGAGUAAAACACCAAGUGAAGGUCCAAUACUUAGAGCAGGAUGAAAUAAAUACAUGGGAUAGGAGCUAAGUUCGCAGAAUCAUAUAUGACGCUAAAAUGAUAAAUUACUUAAGACUAUCAAUAUAUGGACCAAAUUUGGCUAUAUCAAAUGUGAAGCAUUAGGCGUUUGACAGAGAAUUCUUCUAGUCACUUAGCUGAGAUGUGAGAACAAAGAGAGAAACUUAUCGGAAUUUAUAUAGAAAGCAGAGGAAUUCUUCAAGAGAAAUCGAAAAGAGUAACAAGACAACAAGUAUAAAACUCAUGAAUCCGAUCGUUUUAGUGAAUAACUAAUCCGAAGUUAGCUUAAUUUGAAACUUAUGUAUGCAGCAUGCUAAACACGUUAAGAAAAAAUAUGCCCAAAAUAAUCAUUUAUCACAUUUCAGAAUCCAAUCAGAUAGUAAUUUCCCAUCCAGAUUCAUAACUUNNNN
Molecule: long non-coding RNA, 623 nt
Filed under: Solanum tuberosum (potato)
Lineage: Eukaryota; Viridiplantae; Streptophyta; Magnoliopsida; Solanales; Solanaceae
Description: long non-coding RNA (STUB_LNC000755)
Source: RNAcentral